Molecule: ribosomal RNA, 500 nt
Filed under: uncultured bacterium
Lineage: Bacteria
Description: partial 16S ribosomal RNA
Rfam family: Bacterial small subunit ribosomal RNA
Source: RNAcentral
AUUGAACGCUGGCGGCAUGCCUUACACAUGCAAGUCGAACGGCAGCACGGGAGCAAUCCUGGUGGCGAGUGGCGAACGGGUGAGUAAAGUAUCGGAACGUGCCCAGUCGUGGGGGAUAACGUAGCGAAAGUUACGCUAAUACCGCAUACGAUCUAUGGAUGAAAGCGGGGGAUCGCAAGACCUCGCGCGAUUGGAGCGGCCGAUAUCAGAUUAGGUAGUUGGUGGGGUAAAGGCUCACCAAGCCGACGAUCUGUAGCUGGUCUGAGAGGACGACCAGCCACACUGGGACUGAGACACGGCCCAGACUCCUACGGGAGGCAGCAGUGGGGAAUUUUGGACAAUGGGCGAAAGCCUGAUCCAGCCAUGCCGCGUGCAGGAUGAAGGCCUUCGGGUUGUAAACUGCUUUUGUACGGAACGAAAAGGUUUGGCCUAAUAAGCUGAGCUCAUGACGGUACCGUAAGAAUGAGCAUCGGCUAACUACGUGCCAGCAGCCGCCGUAA